ACGGGUGAGUAACGCGUAAAGAACUUGCCGGAUGGACCGGGAUAACAGCUGGAAACGGCUGGCAAGACCGGAUACUAUGGGCUGGCCGCAUGGCUGGCCCAUGAAAAGGGAUGCCGUCCGAGAGCUUUGCGUCCUAUUAGCUGGUUGGUAAGGUGACGGCUUACCAAGGCGAUGAUAGGUAGCCGGCCUGAGAGGGUGGACGGCCACAAGGGGACUGAGAUACGGCCCUUACUCCUACGGGAGGCAGCAGUGGGGAAUAUUGGACAAUGGGGGCAACCCUGAUCCAGCAAUUCUGUGUGCACGAAGAAGGUUUUCGGAUCGUAAAGUGCUUUCAGCAGGGAGGAAGGAAGUGACUGUACCUGCAGAAGAAGCGACGGCUAAAUACGUGCCAGCAGCCGCGGUAAUACGUAUGUCGCGAGCGUUAUCCGGAAUUAUUGGGCAUAAAGGGCAUCUAGGCGGCCGGGUAAGUCCGGGGUGAAAACUGCUGGCUCAACCAGCAGCCUGCCUUGGAAACUACCCGGCUGGAGUGCUGGAGAGGUGGACGGAACUGCACGAGUAGAGGUGAAAUUCGUAGAUAUGUGCAGGAAUGCCGAUGAUGAAGAUAGUUCACUGGACGGCAACUGACGCUGAAGUGCGAAAGCUAGGGGAGCGAACAGGAUUAGAUACCCU
RNAcentral lists this ribosomal RNA (669 nucleotides) under uncultured bacterium. RNAcentral describes it as "bacterial SSU rRNA". It matches the Rfam family "Bacterial small subunit ribosomal RNA", at positions 102 to 788 of the family's 1533-position model. The record is from RNAcentral.